RNAcentral lists this ribosomal RNA (450 nucleotides) under uncultured bacterium. RNAcentral describes it as "partial 16S ribosomal RNA". It matches the Rfam family "Bacterial small subunit ribosomal RNA", at positions 354 to 796 of the family's 1533-position model. The record is from RNAcentral.
GUGGGGAAUUUUGGACAAUGGGCGAAAGCCUGAUCCAGCAAUGCCGCGUGCAGGAUGAAGGCCCUCGGGUUGUAAACUGCUUUUGUACGGAACGAAAAGCUUCUGGUUAAUACCUGGGAGUCAUGACGGUACCGUAAGAAUAAGCACCGGCUAACUACGUGCCAGCAGCCGCGGUAAUACGUAGGGUGCAAGCGUUAAUCGGAAUUACUGGUCGUAAAGCGUGCGCAGGCGGUUGUGUAAGACAGGCGUGAAAUCCCCGGGCUCAACCUGGGAAUUGCGCUUGUGACUGCACAGCUGGAGUGCGGCAGAGGGGGAGGGAAUUCCGCGUGUAGCAGUGAAAUGCGUAGAUAUGCGGAGGAACACCGAUGGCGAAGGCAAUCCCCUGGGCCUGCACUGACGCUCAUGCACGAAAGCGUGGGGAGCAAACAGGAUUAGAUACCCCAGUAGUCC